Molecule: ribosomal RNA, 454 nt
Filed under: uncultured bacterium
Lineage: Bacteria
Description: partial 16S ribosomal RNA
Rfam family: Bacterial small subunit ribosomal RNA
Source: RNAcentral
GAUGAACGCUGACAGAAUGCUUAACACAUGCAAGUCAACCUGAACUUCGGUUUGGGUGGCGGACGGGUGAGUAACGCGUAAAGAACUUGCCUCACAGUUAGGGACAACAUUUGGAAACGAAUGCUAAUACCUGAUAUUAUGAUUAUAUGGCAUCGUAUAAUUAUGAUAGCUAUUUGCGCUAUGAGAGAGCUUUGCGUCCCAUUAGCUAGCUGGAGAGGUAACGGCUCACCAAGGCGAUGAUGGGUAGCCGGCCUGAGAGGGUGAUCGGCCCCAAGGGGACUGAGACGCGGCCCUAACGCCUCCGGGAGGAAGCAGUGAGGACUGUUGGACAAUGGACCAAGGGUCUGAUCCAGCAAUUCUGUGUGCACGAUGAAGUUUUUCGGAAUGUAAAGUGCUUGCAGUUAGGAAGAAAAAAAUGACGGUACCAACAGAAGAAGUGACGGCUAAAUACGUG